RNAcentral lists this non-coding RNA (71 nucleotides) under Caenorhabditis briggsae. The record is from RNAcentral. Lineage: Eukaryota; Metazoa; Nematoda; Chromadorea; Rhabditida; Rhabditidae.
CCCUUUCAUGUACUGAGCCUCUACGUGGCGAAAGGGAUCAAAUCAACAGACGGAAGUCUGGCUAAUCAGUA